Molecule: ribosomal RNA, 245 nt
Filed under: uncultured archaeon
Lineage: Archaea
Description: partial 16S ribosomal RNA
Rfam family: Archaeal small subunit ribosomal RNA
Source: RNAcentral
CACUAGCAUCCUCGAGUGGUAGUCGCGAUUAUUUGGCUUAAAGCGUCCGUAGUCGGGCCGUUAAGUCCUCUGUGAAAUCCUGCGGCUUAACCGUAGGGCUUGCAGAGGAUACUGGCGGCCUUGGAGCCGGGAGAGGUCGGGGGUAUUUCUAGGGUAGCGGCGAAAUGCUAUAAUCCUGGGAGGACCACCGAUAGCGAAGGCACCCGACUAGAACGGGCUCGACGAUGAGGGACGAGAGCUAGGGG